Molecule: ribosomal RNA, 478 nt
Filed under: uncultured bacterium
Lineage: Bacteria
Description: partial 16S ribosomal RNA
Rfam family: Bacterial small subunit ribosomal RNA
Source: RNAcentral
GAUGAACGCUGGCGGCGUGCUUAACACAUGCAAGUCGAACGGGAAACCUUUUAUUGAAGCUUCGGCAGAUUUAGCUGGUUUCUAGUGGCGGACGGGUGAGUAACGCGUGGGUAACCUGCCUUAUUCAGGGGGAUAACAGUCAGAAAUGGCUGCUAAUACCGCAUAAGCGCACAGAGCUGCAUGGCUCAGUGUGAAAAACUCCGGUGGUAUAAGAUGGACCCGCGUUGGAUUAGCUGGUUGGUGGGGUAACGGCCCACCAAGGCGACGAUCCAUAGCCGGCCUGAGAGGGUGAACGGCCACAUUGGGACUGAGACACGGCCCAGACUCCUACGGGAGGCAGCAGUGGGGAAUAUUGCACAAUGGGGGAAACCCUGAUGCAGCGACGCCGCGUGAAGGAAGAAGUAUCUCGGUAUGUAAACUUCUAUCAGCAGGGAAGAUAAUGACGGUACCUGACUAAGAAGCCCCGGCUAACUACGUG